UACGAAGGGUGCAAGCGUUAUUCGGAUUCACUGGGCGUAAAGGGUGCGCAGGCGGUUGGGUGUGUCAGAUGUGAAAUCCCGAGGCUCAACCUCGGAACUGCGUCUGAAACUACUCGACUAGAGUACUGGAGAGGGUAACGGAAUUCACGGUGUAGCAGUGAAAUGCGUAGAUAUCGAGAGGAACACCAGUGGCGAAGGCGAGUCUCUGGACAUUUCCUGACGCUGAGGCACGAAAGCCAGGGGAGCAAACGGG
Molecule: ribosomal RNA, 253 nt
Filed under: uncultured bacterium
Lineage: Bacteria
Description: partial 16S ribosomal RNA
Rfam family: Bacterial small subunit ribosomal RNA
Source: RNAcentral